AUUGAACGCUGGCGGCAGGCUUAACACAUGCAAGUCGAGCGGGGAAAGGUAGCUUGCUACCUAACCUAGCGGCGGACGGGUGAGUAAUGCUUAGGAAUCUGCCUAUUAGUGGGGGACAACAUUCCGAAAGGAAUGCUAAUACCGCAUACGCCCUACGGGGGAAAGCAGGGGAUCUUCGGACCUUGCGCUAAUAGAUGAGCCUAAGUCAGAUUAGCUAGUUGGUGGGGUAAAGGCCUACCAAGGCGACGAUCUGUAGCGGGUCUGAGAGGAUGAUCCGCCACACUGGGACUGAGACACGGCCCAGACUCCUACGGGAGGCAGCAGUGGGGAAUAUUGGACAAUGGGCGAAAGCCUGAUCCAGCCAUGCCGCGUGUGUGAAGAAGGCCUUUUGGUUGUAAAGCACUUUAAGCGAGGAAGAGGCUACUUGGAUUAAUACUCUAGGAUAGUGGACGUUACUCGCAGAAUAAGCACCGGCUAGCUCUGUGCCAGCCGCCGCCGUAA
Molecule: ribosomal RNA, 501 nt
Filed under: uncultured bacterium
Lineage: Bacteria
Description: partial 16S ribosomal RNA
Rfam family: Bacterial small subunit ribosomal RNA
Source: RNAcentral